CGUGCCCUAGUUUUUCCCCAUUUCUGCUCUGAUCAACGCCGUGGAUUGUGGUCACUGGCCGACCACUGCAGGUGACGCUGUUGCCAGCAACAGUGGGUUACAACCGGAGGAGGAGGUCAAUUGGCCAACAACCCUAACUGUGCGGCAAAACCCCCCAUCCAGCAGUUUUUUUUUGCUCAAGAACGACUGAGGAUAAGGACUUUGACACGAGACGAGCAUCUUGACAUCGGAUUG
Molecule: long non-coding RNA, 234 nt
Organism: Zingiber officinale
Lineage: Eukaryota; Viridiplantae; Streptophyta; Magnoliopsida; Zingiberales; Zingiberaceae
Exons: 3
Source: RefSeq, a predicted model, not a curated record